AAGAAAGGCUUAGUAGAAUCUUGAAAAACAGGUAGAUCUUUGAUAUAUAGAGACCACAGAAGGAAGAGUUUCUAGGCUUGUGUACAGUUUAUAGGCUUGCAACAGCAGACAGGACAAAAUGUCAAUUAUAUGUUGUGGCUGGCAAAGCUGUUUCUCAGCUACACAGAGGAAUGGUUUAUGGGAGAUUUAAAAGAUUCAGACUUUUAAAGAAUCAAACCUGAAACAGACAGCAUCUUAAACUCAAUUUCUCAACUUAUAGAUAAACAGCACCAGAACACAAAACAUAGGAAACUGGAGUAGCAAUACCAUUCUGGCAAAAGACAAAAUAAAUCUGUGUGUAUAUGUG
This is a non-coding RNA of Oryctolagus cuniculus (rabbit), 346 nucleotides long. The record is from RefSeq and is a predicted model, not a curated record. Lineage: Eukaryota; Metazoa; Chordata; Mammalia; Lagomorpha; Leporidae.